RNAcentral lists this ribosomal RNA (234 nucleotides) under Triticum aestivum (bread wheat). RNAcentral's name for it is "partial small subunit ribosomal RNA". The record is from RNAcentral. Lineage: Eukaryota; Viridiplantae; Streptophyta; Magnoliopsida; Poales; Poaceae.
AUGAGCUACCAGCAGGGCUACCCGCCGCCAGGCACCGCAGCAGCGUACCCUCCGCCGGGCCAGCAGCAGGCCUACGUCGCGCCGCCGCCGUCCACCUACCCGCAGGACCAGCAGUACCCUCCCGCCGGCGCCGACACCACGAGCCGCGGCGGGCACGGCCACGGCGGCGAUGGCUUCUUGAAAGGAUGCUGCGCCGCGCUGUGCUGCUGCUGCCUCCUCGACGCCUGCUUCUGA